Long non-coding RNA from Myripristis murdjan (pinecone soldierfish), 127 nucleotides. RefSeq lists it as uncharacterized. The record is from RefSeq and is a predicted model, not a curated record. The transcript is spliced from 3 exons. Lineage: Eukaryota; Metazoa; Chordata; Actinopteri; Holocentriformes; Holocentridae.
GUACAGGGAGCACUGACAGAAGAUGUGGUUUGAGAGAUGUUAUUCUGCUGCCUCAUCUUUCUCUUCGGCUGCUUCUGUAGCAGGUGCCUGCAAGCAGAGGUCAGAAAGCAAACGUCUGAAUUCCAGU